This 4325-nucleotide long non-coding RNA is filed under the name Chlamydomonas reinhardtii. RNAcentral describes it as "long non-coding RNA (CREI_LNC000908)". The record is from RNAcentral. Lineage: Eukaryota; Viridiplantae; Chlorophyta; Chlorophyceae; Chlamydomonadales; Chlamydomonadaceae.
UGAAUGGCAAUGGCGGCUACUAGCGCAGCUACCAUUCGCCGCCAUGCGUCCGUUGACAGGUUGGAAUAGAUGGUGCCAGUGGUAGCAUCCAUCCUUUCACCUGUGUGCGUCGGUGAUGGGGUUUGCGGGUGCGUGGUGAGAGAGGGGGACAGGUGCACGCUAUCAUGAACCAGGCUAAAUUCGUAAUAAUUCGCCCCCCAUGCGCCACAAACCCCACCCAACCUGAAACCCCUUAGUUCCCCAGAUCCAUUUCCACGUCUGAAGGCGGGUUCGUGUGUCGGUUGUGACAGAGCGAGGUGAGCCCGAGCGCGAAGCCCAGCUGGCGCUACAACCUUUGGGUCAAAAGUCAACGAUAGCCGCUGCGGGCCAGGCGCGUGGCCUCGCUGGGUCGCUGGUUGCACCCAGCAUGGCGUUUCGCAAGCUUAACUGGUUUUGGUUGCAAGUUCCUUCGCGGCGAUGCUCCAAUUGCGCCCUAUGCACUGGUUGCAGGUCGUCGGCGGUGUUCCGGCGUCAUGCUUCCGUGGCAAAAUGUAUGAUGCGCUCCGGUCAUCGAGUCGCAUGUGCCGGAGGGACCAAUAGCAGGCAGCGCAGCUUAGAAUUGCAAUCGGUGAGUAUAUGUAGACAGCCACUACUAACGUGUAUCAUUAGCGACCAGUCAUACUUGUGGCGCGUCGGCACGCCGCACGCGUGCCCGCCGUCACUCACCCCAAAGGGGUCUGUUCCCGACACUCGCGCCAGCCGUACCGAUGCGCCAGCAUUUCGCGCAACCAUACCAUCUGACGGAGCGCUAUGCGCAAUCAUCGCUUACCGAAUGCCGGCUCAGGUUCCUAUCCGCAACUGCUCCAUCCCCACUAAGUUACGGUACUCACUUCCCCUCCUUCACACCCUUUCCUGCCUGCCUCCACCCUCAGCGAAACUUCUUGGCCGGCCAGUGCCCGCCCGCCUUCAGCACCGCCGGCAACGUGUGUGCCAGCAUCCGCUUCAUACAGUCACGCACAAACUGUGGCGUGAUGACCUUCUGAACCACCUUCUCCAUCUCGUCCAGGUAGGGCUGCAGGGGGUCCUCGCCAGCCUCGGUGGGCCGCCGUGCGUUGCAGAACUGCCGCAUGACGAGGGCAACGGCCGCGUGCGACUGCUCCACUGGGCAGUGCAUGUCGCCGCUGUACGUGGGAAGCUUCAUGAAAUUGGCCUUAGUGACGCCCACACCACGGAAGUCAGCAAUCUCGCCGUUGCCGUGGCAUGCCGGGUUGUCCCAUGACACGUAGGGCUUGAUAGGGGCCACGGGCGGGGGUGGCGGCGGCUUCCUCUUACCCCGCCGGCCCUGCUUCUGCGCGGCCUUCACCGCCGCGGUUUGCUUUGCAGCCAGCCUUGCAGCCUUCUCCCGGAACGCGCCCAGCAUGCGCCCUAUGUACUUAACAAACUCCGCCUUCGUGAUGAACCUUGCAUCCUUCCCCGCCAGGGUCUGCGGUGGUGACAGGCAGUGGCGGGCGGCAGCUUGAGCAUGGCGCGUGGAGGACACAACCGGCGGCGCUUCCCACCCUCUGUGGCAGCGCGAUACAGCCCCCUGAACCGGGAGCCGCUAAACGCACGGGGGACAGAUGACCGGCGGCCCGUGCUGUGGAGGCUGCAGUGUGGGUGCUUUGUCUACAAGGCACGGCACACAGUGGCUAACAGUAUUCGGCGAUGUGCCCCGCACGCACCCAGCUGCUUCAACUGCACCUAUCACACCUCCGGCCGAGGUGCAAGUGAGGCCGCACAGCGCGCGUUUCGCAUGCUGAUUGACCUUGCGCGGCGGCUGGGGGAGGCGUGUACGGUGGUGUGGGAGGCGCGGGUGGUUGAGGGGUGUGGCCCCUUCGACUUUUGGCUGUGGGAGUGGGGUGUGGUGGUUGAAGUGGAUGGCAUGCAGCACACGGAUACCCCGCAUCACGGCACGGAAGCGCAAGCACAGUGGCUGGUGGAUCGGUGGAAGGAAGCAGCUGCUGUUCGCAAGCGGCUGCAUGUGGCGCGGUUGCAUGUGAUGGACAUGGUGUGCUGGGAGGCCGUGGUUGCGCGUGCACUGUGUGCUGCUCGUAACGGCAUUCCGCCGUGCGUGCACUACAGCGACUACUACCUGCGGCCUGUGAUUACACAGUCAUGAGCUCCCAACGCACCUGGUACUGUAGCUCGGGUGGCGGCGUGUAGGCCCUGCCUGUGGUGCCGGCAACAGGCUCCCAUCGCACGACGCCGAAGGCAGGGCACACGGUGAUGAUGUACUUGAUGGUGUUGGGUCGUGAUGAUCCGCAGCGGUAGUCCUCAAUGGUGAUGCUCUGCCCGCGCGGGCCUGCAGUCCAGGCGGUGUAGUCGGUUGGGUUGCAGAUGAAGGUCUUUUCGUCGGUCAUGGCGAAACCGUUGAAGAUGGUUAAGUUGAGCCAUGCGUCGCUUUCAAACUCCGCUGUGCCAAUGUCUGGUGGCAAGGGAAAGGCGCCAUCGCUGACACCGUACUCCCUUUCAGCCUCCACGGCUGAGACCAUCUUCACGCCUGGAGCAUUGGGGUUGACAAGCUUGCGCAACCACGCUGCUGAGCGGUCCAGCCGGUCACCCCACUGCUCGGGGCUGAGGAAGGGGCGGUGCUCCACCUUUAAGUUCUUUUGGAGGGUUGGAUCGUAGUGUUGCAUGGAGCGCCACAGGGAUUUGAAAGUGAUCUUGUGGGAUUUGAGAACGUCUUGAAAGGGCGCGUCGUGCUCGUACUUGGCGGCAGAGUCAUAGUGGACGCUCUUGACGUGGUCGACCAGGGUUUUCAGGAUGGGGUCCGACACCGUGCGCGGCCGGCCUGGGCGUGGCUUGGGCUCUGUCCCGCCAGUGUGCACGUAGCGCACGUACCACUUCUUAAUCUGCUCUGCCAUAUGCUUGGGUGAUGCCUCCCAUGGUGUGUAAUCAACUGGCUGCGGGAAGAUCUCUGGGCAUGCCUCGCGUGCCUUGAACUCCGCCACGGCAAUGGGGCCCCAGCGCUGAGGUGUGGUGCCACGUGUGGUAAGCCCAGAACGGUAACAGGCCUGAAUGGCAAUGGCGGCUACUAGCGCAGCUACCAUUCGCCGCCAUGCGUCCGUUGACAGGUUGGAAUAGAUGGUGCCAGUGGUAGCAUCCAUCCUUUCACCUGUGUGCGUCGGUGAUGGGGUUUGCGGGUGCGUGGUGAGAGAGGGGGACAGGUGCACGCUAUCAUGAACCAGGCUAAAUUCGUAAUAAUUCGCCCCCCAUGCGCCACAAACCCCACCCAACCUGAAACCCCUUAGUUCCCCAGAUCCAUUUCCACGUCACUGUGUCGCACAAUUCCGCCGACCUUUGCGCACCCCAGCAUAUGUGUGCCCGCGGUUUCCAAUGCUCUAUUGAAUGCACCAAAAGCCAGCCCAGGCCCUGCGUCCUAGGGCCCAAACGAGCUCCUCCGUACAAUGUUUGCUCGCACACUCCGGCGCACGCGAUUAGGUGUCGCGCGCUACUGUAUGGUAGCCCUUGUGUCGCACAAGUGGUUGGAGCGUGUUUGGGGUGAGUUGGCGCGGCAGGGUGGUGUCGCGCCCAUGCUGCCCCGCUUGCGGGGCUUGUUCCCGGCCGGUCUCUGAUGGCUAUGGUGUAGUCCUAUGAAUUAUCUGUGCGCGGGUUGGUGCCCGGCGAAUUUCUGUUGCAUGGGGCCUGCGCGCAUGGCGUGCCCCUCGGGGGGUAAUCGCGCUCGGAUCACAUAAGGGCCGCUCGAACUAAAAUUUGCCACUCAUACAAUAAUUACAGCUACUGUAUGUCUACUCGCCCAUGUGUAGCACGCUUGGGCGCUAGCUCGCAUUUGAGAGAACCAACACCCUUGCUCCCCCCAUUUUCGUCAAAACCAACAUUCUGCAAAUUGAUACUGUAGUUCUCACUCUGAGUAGCAGCUACGGCUGUCGUUCCCGUGGUUGAGAGCCCUUACCGUUGUGGUUCUACUGUGGAGGCAGCGGGCGUAGCGACCGGGCGCAAGCAGCCGAGCGGGCGGUGGAGAACCAGUCGCAAAAGUCUGCGGAAUUGUGGGAUCCAGUGAAGGCGGGUUCGUGUGUCGGUUGUGACAGAGCGAGGUGAGCCCGAGCGCGAAGCCCAGCUGGCGCUACAACCUUUGGGUCAAAAGUCAACGAUAGCCGCUGCGGGCCAGGCGCGUGGCCUCGCUGGGUCGCUGGUUGCACCCAGCAUGGCGUUUCGCAAGCUUAACUGGUUUUGGUUGCAAGUUCCUUCGCGGCGAUGCUCCAAUUGCGCCCUAUGCACUGGUUGCAGGUCGUCGGCGGUGUUCCGGCGUCAUGCUUCCGUGGCAAAAUGUAUGAUGCGCUCCGGUC